RNAcentral lists this ribosomal RNA (484 nucleotides) under uncultured bacterium. RNAcentral describes it as "partial 16S ribosomal RNA". It matches the Rfam family "Bacterial small subunit ribosomal RNA", at positions 30 to 507 of the family's 1533-position model. The record is from RNAcentral.
AUUGAACGCUGGCGGCAGGCCUAACACAUGCAAGUCGAGCGGAUGAAGGGAGCUUGCUCCUGGAUUCAGCGGCGGACGGGUGAGUAAUGCCUAGGAAUCUGCCUGGUAGUGGGGGAUAACGUCCGGAAACGGGCGCUAAUACCGCAUACGUCCUGAGGGAGAAAGUGGGGGAUCUUCGGACCUCACGCUAUCAGAUGAGCCUAGGUCGGAUUAGCUAGUUGGUGGGGUAAAGGCCUACCAAGGCGACGAUCCGUAACUGGCCUGAGAGGAUGAUCAGUCACACUGGAACUGAGACACGGUCCAGACUCCUACGGGAGGCAGCAGUGGGGAAUAUUGGACAAUGGGCGAAAGCCUGAUCCAGCCAUGCCGCGUGUGUGAAGAAGGUCUUCGGAUUGUAAGGCACUUUAAGUUGGGAGGAAGGGCAGUAAGUUAAUACCUUGCUGUUUUGACGUUACCAACAGAAUAAGCACCGGCUAACUUCGUG